AGUGAACGCUGGCGGUAGGCCUAACACAUGCAAGUCGAACGGCAGCACAGUAAGAGCUUGCUCUUACGGGUGGCGCGUGGCGGACGGGUGAGGAAUACAUCGGAAUCUACUUUUUCGUGGGGGAUAACGUAGGGAAACUUACGCUAAUACCGCAUACGACCUACGGGUGAAAGCAGUGGAUCUUCGGACCUUGCGCGAUUGAAUGAGCCGAUGUCGGAUUAGCUAGUUGGCGGGGUAAAGGCCCACCAAGGCGACGAUCCGUAGCUGGUCUGAGAGGAUGAUCAGCCACACUGGAACUGAGACACGGUCCAGACUCCUACGGGAGGCAGCAGUGGGGAAUAUUGGACAAUGGGCGCAAGCCUGAUCCAGCCAUACCGCGUGGGUGAAGAAGGCCUUCGGGUAGUAAAGCCCUUUUGUUAGGAAAGAAAAACAGCAGGUUAAUACCCCGCUGUUCUGACGGUACCCAAAGAAUAAGCACCGGCUAACUUCGUG
RNAcentral lists this ribosomal RNA (492 nucleotides) under uncultured bacterium. Its description in RNAcentral is "partial 16S ribosomal RNA". It matches the Rfam family "Bacterial small subunit ribosomal RNA", at positions 29 to 507 of the family's 1533-position model. The record is from RNAcentral.